This is a long non-coding RNA of Oncorhynchus nerka (sockeye salmon), 340 nucleotides long. RefSeq lists it as uncharacterized. NCBI's taxonomy places the organism in Eukaryota, Metazoa, Chordata, Actinopteri, Salmoniformes, Salmonidae. The transcript has 4 exons. The record is from RefSeq and is a predicted model, not a curated record.
GGCCAUAUGCAUCAUCCAGUUGGAGAGGAUACGAGGCUGUCGUUCCUCCGUCUUCCUCUUCCUGUUCUGGGUCCUGGCGGUGGUGUGUUCCCUGGUGCCCCUACGGGCAAAGAUCCAGCUGGUUAUGUACGAGGGUAUCACCACCGAUAUUGUGAGAUACACAGCGUUUUUCUCCUACUUCUCACUCCAACUGGCCCAGCUCUUCCUGUGUUGUUUCGCUGACCAGCCUCCAGAGGGAAAAACCGUCCUCGUCAAAAACCCAUGUCCAGUCAAGGAUGCCUCUUUCCUGUCGAAGAUGCUCUUCUGGUGGUUUACUGGGCUGGUGGUUAAAGGUUAUCGC